AUGGGUGCUUAUGCAGCCUUCCAACUUGGUCCUCCUGUGCCCACACUCACACUGUUUCUCUUACUCUUACCUGUUCUGGUUCUACGACUCUUGUUUCCUUUCACCACAGAGUCACUGCCAAAAUGUCCUAAUAAAACACAGAAGAACGACCCUCAGGGAUUCUGUUUUGAUUCUGCUAUGCAAGACGAGAUUUCCAUCUUCCUGUGUAAGUGGAAUGACAGGCGUGCCGUGAGAGCGAUGCUCGAUCAGGGGCCUCUGGCCCUGGCCUUGGAGCCACCUGCCAUUUCCUUGUCGCAUGGGAUGAAUGAGUCUCUCAGAUAUUUCAGCUCCCGAUACCUGGUGUGCCUCUUCCCUAAAGGCCCUGUGACCCCACUCGCCCGUCCAAAGGGCAUCACAUGCCUCUUUCGGCAAUGCCAGAUCCUUAACCUACUGAGCGAGGCCAGGGACUGAACCCGCAACUUCAUGGUUCCUAGUCAGAUUUGUUUCCACUGCUUCACAAUGGGAACUCCUUCCAAAUAAUUUAGAAUGACCUUUUUUGGUUAAAAAAAAAUGUAUCUUUUUCUCUGGGAUAGGCUUUAACAUAUAAAUUUAUUUAGGAAGCCUGAUGGCUUUAUACAUUUUUUCUUCCUAAGAACAAGGUAGGCUUUCCCAUAUGUUUAGGUGUUAAUUAAUAAUCUUCAAAACUUUUUCAGAAUACACAUAUAUCUUACACAUUUGUUAGAUUAUUAAAUAGAUUACAUAUAAUCUUAGGUAUUUCAUUUUUAUUCUACUAUAAGUGCAGUCUAUUACCCCCAUAUAUUUUCUAAAUGGUUGCUGUAUCAUGAAGGUCAUUGGUUUUUAAUGUAUUUAUUUUCUACACCACCAUCUCAGGUUUUAGUUGAGUCUCUUGGGUGCACACUUGUAGCCUUUGGAAUUAUGAUAGUUUUGCCUCCUCCUUUCCAAUUUUUAAUUUUUUUCUUGUCUGUGUUGGCUAAUAUCUUCAGUACAACUACAAUUUUGAUGUAAUUAACUAUUAAUUUUCCCCACUAAGUGUGUUGGCUUUUGGACUGAAUUUUAUUUUUAGUCCAGUGGCUGAAUUUUUGAGAUUUGGAGAAAAGUCUGAAAUACAAAUCUUGAGUGAGCACACUUUACUCCCCAUGGCAGACCGCUCAGGAAGACUUUUGUUGGUGUUUCAAAGGACAGAUAAACUCAGACAAUUUUCAGCACAAUUCAUCGAAAAAUUAGAAAGGCUCUUUAAUGUUUUUUGCACACAUUAUUUUAUUUACAACAAUCGCUGCCAUUUAAAAAUUACAUGUUUUGUUCCACAAUCAGUGUUUUCUUAUUUACAAAUACUUCCAGAAAUCCCUGAAAACUUAUACUUACGUUCUCCUGUUUUAGACAGACAUCAUCCCUACAUGACACUAAAACACCUGUCUAGAGUCACGAUAGGAGAAAGCUCAACGACUCUCCUGGGGCUGCUCAGAAUUGACAUGAACGUCAUUCUUUGGCCCAAGGGGAAGGUCUGGAACUAGUCCUGAGGUAGAGUUUCAACAGCAAAGCUCAGCAGAGCACAAAGUGAAAAGUAAUCAUGAAAAAAUUAAAUGGUGAUAUUAUCAAAACAGUAGCUUGGGAAUAAUACUAUGUUAUCAGGAGAGAAAAGGAGUCCUUAGAAAUAGGACCCAGCCCUAUAAGUUUUAAAGAAAAAUACUUUACGGAAGAAGGACAAUGGCUCAGGUGACAUAAAAAAAAAUGCCCAUUGUGUUGCCUGCUUCGGUGAAAUAAAACAAACCAUCUAAGCCAAGUGACAGGGUCACCUCUGUUCACAUUUCUGGUCACAAAUGGGGAACACCAACUCUAGGAUGGCUAGAGUUCUCUCAUGUUUGUUUUCAUGCCCUUUGCACAUCCUUGCCAGCAAUCAAAACCAGAAUUUUCCAGGCAUUGCUAUUCACUAGGGUUCCCCAACGUGGGUUGUUUAACUGAGAUGAUAGACCUGGACAAGUGCAUUCAGUUCAGCUGGGCACAUAGACAUCUGGUCUGAAGCUGAGCUUUCUUGGUUUUGAAAAGGUUCAUUGGAAUUCAGAUUUGUUAAGUGGGUCAAUUUAUGGCACUCGGUGAUUCUAUGACCAGCACAGUCCUUGCUCGGAGGCUGUAGAGGUUGACGGAGGUUCAUCAGACAUUCUUUGGCUCCUCUGGGUGUGGCCCAUAUGGAUUCUGACUUGUAGCAGGGCUUUGCACUUUCUUACCACAGUUGGUUGAGUAGAGAAUGUACAUGCUUCGAAUUAGGAAAAUGCCAGCAAUGACUGCAAAAUAACUGCCAUACACUAAAAACUAAAGGAAAAACAAAGAAUUAGACACACACGAAAUAUGACCAUCUCUGUCACUGAUAAUUGCGAGGCCGUUGACUUCCUUGGAUUAUGGGGUAACUGAGACCCAGGGUCUUAAUAUGGAUCUUUUCGACUGGCACAAUACUUUCUUCUCCCCUCUUAGAAGAGCUGCUUAAGUAUGAAAGUAUAAGCAAUGUAGUAACUAAGAGUGUGGGCUCUGGAGUCAGGGUUGCUUAGAUUCAAAUUCUAGCAAAUAUCACCUAUAGUGAAUCAACACUAAAUCCCACUGAUUGAUGUGUCUAUGUUCGGAGGUUGUGCCAUGCUUUGGUAACAUCUCCAGGGAUGAACUUAAGACGCUGAGGUUACUUUUUACCUGCCUCAUCCCCUGUUACUCAGAUCCAAUGUGAAACUGGUCCAAUUUGAAGUCUCCCAGUGUUGGAGGGAAGAGGGAUCUAAACUGUGCAGCCACAUACCCAUUCCCAGUUACAUCUUGGUAAACUUUGGUACCAAAGGAUAGGAGAGAGAGGAGACAUAAGGGCACAGAAUGGCCAGGGUGUUACCUGAUAGGGACCAAAGGUAAAUGCUAACCACAGUGGUUAUUGCUCAAUGCCUACUUGGCUUUACAGUUGAUAAUGGAAGGAACGGCUUAUUUUAAAAUUGGCCUAGCCAAGGAAUUCAAGAAAUUAAGUACUGGCAACAGUAAGGGUGAAGAAACCCCCUUUGAGAUGACCUAGGCAUUCCACCUUCCCCCAGCUACCUGCAGAGGAUAAUGGAAGUGCUGUGGCUUACCUGAGUGCUGACUGGCAGCUCCAGCCCCCUCCGAUCUACUACGAUCACAGUUAUGAUGGUCUGAAUCACCAGGGCAAUGAAGGUGUUGAUUCCAAAGACCAGGGCAUAGCGUUCCACACUCAGAUUAACUGCGAUCUGAAAUCUGCCCGGAAACAGAGACUAAGUUCUUAAGAAAGAACAUCCAUGGGAUUCUGAGCUUUAAAAGACAGACACUGAGGAGAAAGCAGUGUCUUGGUAAUACCACUUUUUGUCUAAAUCUCCUCUCUUCCAGUGGAGACAAGCAGGCAGAGCAAACAAAAAAUUUAUCCUUGAAGGCCAGCUUAGAAUACACUUAAAGGAAAUACGGCAAAACUCCUCCUAGCCAAUUGAAUGCUUCCAGAAAUUAAACAUAAAGGUGCUAACUCUCACAACUUGAGAAUAGGGGAUGCUAUCUGAUUUUAGUUACUAUUUUGCAAUGAAUUUUUACCAAAAUACUAGCUAUGCCCAACCUAAGGAAUUUUUUUUGGAGAGUUAUUCUUUUCAUUGUCGAUUGCAUCAAGUUUCAAAGUCUGGUAAGUGAAUUAUUUUUUGAAGAUCCAGGUCAUGAUUGGUUGUACCACUAAGUGAUUCUAUAAUUAAUUUAUUUCUUAUAAUUAUAUAGAUUUUGAAAUCUUACUGCAAAACAUUUAGGAAAGAUGAGCAAAGCAUGUCGUUUACAAUUUGUCCUUGGAAUGCGGGGGCUGCUCCACGGCAUAUGGAGGUUCCCAGGCUAGGGGUCUAAUCAGAGCUACAGCCACCGGCUUAGCCAGAGCCACAGCAACUUGGGAUCCAAGCCGCACCUGCAACCUGCACCACAGCUCUCGGCAACGCCGGAUCCCUAACCCACUGAGCAAGGCCAAGGAUCGAACCCACAACCUCAUGGUUCCUAGUCGGAUUCGUUAACCACUGCACCACAAUGGGGGAACUCCUGAACAUUCUUAAAAUGAAAAAAUGUCACCCUACUUUAAGAAAAUUCUCAUGUGAAAAAUAACCCAAGACACAUGAGUUUGAUAGAUUAAAUUGAUAGCCUUCAGUGAAAAAAUUGAACUUGCCACAAGGUUCAUCUCUUUCCUCAGUUUCAUAAUCUCUUCUCAGGGACCAUGUAUUUCCAUGUGUGGUCGAUUACUUAUCAAGUAUUUUUCACAAAUUAAAACGCAAAACUUGAUAAAGCUUUUGGCUCUACUUCUUUCAUCUGAUGAGAAAUUCAAAUGAUUCUUGGGAGUUCCCUUCGUGGCUCAGCGGUUAACAAAACCCAACGAGGAUCCAUGAGGGUGUGGGUUCAAUCCCUGAGCUCGCUCCGUGGAUUAAGGAUCCGGCAUUGCCAUGAGCUAUGGUGUAGGCUGCAGACGUGGCUUGGAUCUGGCAUUGCUGUGGCAUAGGCUGGCAGCUACUAUUUGACCCCUAGCCUGGGAACUUCCUUAUGC
Molecule: long non-coding RNA, 4534 nt
Filed under: Sus scrofa (pig)
Lineage: Eukaryota; Metazoa; Chordata; Mammalia; Artiodactyla; Suidae
Description: lncRNA (ENSSSCG00025021813.1)
Source: RNAcentral